UACGAAGGGUGCAAGCGUUAAUCGGAAUUACUGGGCGUAAAGCGUGCGUAGGCGGUUUGUUAAGUCUGUUGUGAAAGCCCUGGGCUCAACCUGGGAAUGGCAAUGGAAACUGGCGAGCUAGAGUCAGGUAGAGGGUGGUGGAAUUCCCGUGGAGCGGUGAAAUGCGUAGAGAUCGGAAAGAACACCAACGGCGAAAGCACUCUGCUGGGCCGACACUGACACUGAGAGACGAAAGCUAGGGGAGCGAAUGGG
RNAcentral lists this ribosomal RNA (252 nucleotides) under uncultured bacterium. Its description in RNAcentral is "partial 16S ribosomal RNA". It matches the Rfam family "Bacterial small subunit ribosomal RNA", at positions 524 to 776 of the family's 1533-position model. The record is from RNAcentral.